CUAUACAUGACUCUGCGCAUAUCAAUAAGCGGAGGAAAAGAAACUAACAAGGAUUCCCCUAGUAACGGCGAGUGAAGCGGGAAGAGCUCAAAUUUGAAAUCCUUAAAGGGUUUCCCUUUACGAAUUGUAGUUUAAAGAAGUGUUUUCUGCUGAAGUUUUGGUAAAAGUUCUUUGGAAUAGGACAUCAUAGAGGGUGAGAAUCCCGUAUUUGACCAUUUACUUUCAGCUUUGUGAUACACUUUCAAAGAGUCGGAUUGUUUGGGAAUGCAGUCCAAAAUGGGUGGUAAAUUUCAUCUAAAGCUAAAUAUUGGCGAGAGACCGAUAGCGAACAAGUACCGUGAGGGAAAGAUGAAAAGAACUUUGAAAAGAGAGUUAAACAGUACGUGAAAUUGUCAAAAGGGAAGCGUUUGACACCAGUGUUGUUUUCUCGAAAAUCAAUUAAAAAUGGCUCGAUUUUGUAUUGCUUGAGACCUUGAAAAGCUCACUGUACAUUUUUCGUGUCUUUUUUAAUGCACUUUUCGUUUAACAAGUCAACAUCAGUUUCUUUUGUUGUAAAAGGGUCAUUGGAAGGUGGCUUUCUUUUCGGAGAAAGUGCUUAUAGCCUUUGGCCUCUGCAAUCGGAGAGACUGAGGUCUGCAGCGUAGACUCUUCGGGGUUAGAUACAUUUGUGCUAAGUUAUAGCAUUUUUAUAGACAACUUGUUGACUAUGAUUAGUCUUGUAGCUUACUCGCUUAUGCUAUUUUACCUACGCUUAGGAUGUUGACAGCAGUAUAGACUGU
RNAcentral lists this ribosomal RNA (779 nucleotides) under uncultured Neocallimastigales. Its description in RNAcentral is "partial large subunit ribosomal RNA". It matches the Rfam family "Eukaryotic large subunit ribosomal RNA", at positions 22 to 627 of the family's 3401-position model. The record is from RNAcentral. Lineage: Eukaryota; Fungi; Neocallimastigomycota; Neocallimastigomycetes; Neocallimastigales.